Molecule: ribosomal RNA, 444 nt
Filed under: Holothuria mammata
Lineage: Eukaryota; Metazoa; Echinodermata; Holothuroidea; Aspidochirotida; Holothuriidae
Description: partial 16S ribosomal RNA
Rfam family: Bacterial large subunit ribosomal RNA
Source: RNAcentral
AAUCAUUUGUCUUUUAAAUGAAGACUUGUAUGAACGGCAAAACCUCCUCCAACUGUCUCCCCUCCCAUCCUUCCAAAUUUCCUCCUGCGUGAAGAAGCGCAGAUACACCAGAAAGACGAGAAGACCCUGUCGAGCUUUAACCACUAAGUGGGCCUUACCCUUUCAGGCACCACCCAAAGGUUUUGGUUGGGGCAACCACGGAGAAAAAACAUCCUCCAGAACGAAUAGAAGAAAGCUUUUCACUAUUAUUACGACUGAGAACCAGGAACUGGUAUUCGGAAAGAGUUACCGCAGGGAUAACAGCGUCAUCUCCUCUAAGAGUCCUUAUUGACGAGGAGGUUUGCGACCUCGAUGUUGGAUUGGGGCCCCCUUAGGGUGCAGAAGCUCUAAACGGUUAGACUGUUCGUCUAUUAAAGCCCUACAUGAUCUGAGUUCAAACCGGAG